RNAcentral lists this ribosomal RNA (543 nucleotides) under uncultured archaeon. RNAcentral's name for it is "bacterial SSU rRNA". It matches the Rfam family "Archaeal small subunit ribosomal RNA", at positions 326 to 869 of the family's 1478-position model. The record is from RNAcentral.
CGGGGUGCAGCAGGCGCGAAAACUUUACACUGCGGGAAACCGCGAUAAGGGGACCCCGAGUGCCAGCACCUAGUGCUGGCUGUCCAGCUGUCCAAAUAACAGUUGUUAGCAAGGGCCGGGCAAGACCGGUGCCAGCCGCCGCGGUAACACCGGCGGCCCGAGUGGUAGCCGUUAUUAUUGGGUUUAAAGGGUCCGUAGCCGGCCUAUUAAGUCUCUUGGGAAAUCUGGCGACUCAAUCGUCAGUCGCCCAAGAGAUACUGGUAGGCUUGGGACCGGGAGAGGUGGGAGGUACUCCAGGGGUAGGGGUGAAAUCUCGUAAUCCUUGGGGGACCACCGAUGGCGAAGGCAUCCCACCAGAACGGGUCCGACGGUGAGGGACGAAAGCUGGGGGCACGAACCGGAUUAGAUACCCGGGUAGUCCCAGCCGUAAACGAUGCUCGCUAGGUGUCAGGUGCGGUGCGACCGCAUCUGGUGCCGCAGUGAAAACUUGAAGCGAGUCACCUGGGAAGUACGGUCGCAAGGCUGAAACUUAAAGGAAUUGGC